UCAAGCCCUGCUCUCAUCCAGUUUGUGGCGAAGAAAACUAUAUUGGAAAAUACAGUGGUUUUGCCUAAACGCCUUUUCAUAGUGGUGAUAAGUUAGAAAUGGCUCAGCAGGGGGGAAAAUGCGGUCAAAUCCCUCCAAAGUCGACGUGGAUAGCAAAUAAACAUAUAUCGGCAAAAUAACAACCAACACCUGAUGCUAAAAAGACGGGUUAGCCACUAUGACCGAACAGUUAAGCUAGCUAACGUUACCAUCAUUAAGUUGGGGCUAGUGCUAAAUUGGCAACUUUGGUACAGAGAAACAUUACUUCCUUGAACAAGGAAAAAAGAGACUUGCCGUGGUUUCCAAAGGUGGCAACUAUGGAUGCAAAGUUUGCCUAACCCUAGUAUUCUUAAUAUUGAACACAAAAAGAUUGCGACUGUCAGAAUAAUUGCGCACUUUUACAGUCCCAGUAACAUUAACGAUAAGGAGGAGCGCAGAGGUUACCAAGAUGCCGAAGAAGGUGUGGACAAAAUAACCUGACCUGAGGGAGUGACGUUUCAACUCAAAAUCCUAAAAUCAUCAGCUCAAUAGUGACCUAUAGGCUGAUGCACUUAGCAGAAUAGAGGACAAGACAGAGAAGAAGUAAAUCAGUGACCGGAGAUAAAGAAGACACAGCAACACAGAUGCAUUAUAUCAGUAAUGCACAACAUUCACAGGACCUCAUGAUAAUAGGCUCGUCGGGACACAGAGAAAGGAGCGAGACGCUUGUCAGAGUGGAUACAUCCGUGCCUGACCCGAGGGAGAUGGCUCAGUGCACGACACAUCAGUUACAGGACACCGAGAGACCCUCUCCCCCCUCCUCGCAGGCUAAUGGUUUUCAAGUUAGUGAGGGCCUGUGCUCUUGUCUGGGCCAGGCCUGUUGUCAUGUGAAAUCCAUUAGAGGUCGCAAGCACACAGGAUGGGCGGUCUAUUGAUAAGGCAGCAGGAGAAGUGAGGCAGAAGCAGGGGAAGAAAUGAGAAGCUUUUUAUCUCCCGACUGUACUGUACUGUACUCUCCUUGAGGACUUUGUAAAGCAAACUGAAGUAGAGUGGAAAAUUGAUGGAGAUGUUUUACAUUAUUAUUGUACUUCUGAGCAAUGGCUUGUAAGAUUGUAUUCUGAAAUGGUAAGACAAUUGAAAAUAGUCUCCUAUGUAAUCAGAAACGUGU
Long non-coding RNA from Perca fluviatilis (European perch), 1186 nucleotides. RefSeq lists it as uncharacterized. The record is from RefSeq and is a predicted model, not a curated record. The transcript is spliced from 3 exons. NCBI's taxonomy places the organism in Eukaryota, Metazoa, Chordata, Actinopteri, Perciformes, Percidae.